AGUCGAGGGGUAACAGAGGAGCUUGCUCCUGCUGACGACCGGCGCACGGGUGCGUAACGCGUAUACAAUCUGCCUUGCACUAAGGGAUAGCCCAGAGAAAUUUGGAUUAAUAUCUUAUGGUUUAUAAUUAUGGCAUCAUAUUUAUAAUAAAGGUUACGGUGUAAGAUGAGUAUGCGUCCCAUUAGUUUGUUGGUAAGGUAACGGCUUACCAAGACUACGAUGGGUAGGGGCCCUGAGAGGGGGAUCCCCCACACUGGUACUGAGACACGGACCAGACUCCUACGGGAGGCAGCAGUGAGGAAUAUUGGACAAUGGAGGAGACUCUGAUCCAGCCAUGCCGCGUGCAGGAAGACGGUCCUAUGGAUUGUAAACUGCUUUUAUACAGGAAGAAUAAGGACUACGUGUAGUCUGGUGACGGUACUGUAAGAAUAAGGACCGGCUAACUCCGUGCCAGCAGCCGCGGUAAUACGGAGGGUCCGAGCGUUAUCCGGAAUUAUUGGGUUUAAAGGGUCCGUAGGCGGGCUGUUAAGUCAGGGGUGAAAGUUUGCAGCUCAACUGUAGAAUUGCCUUUGAUACUGACGGUCUUGAAUUAUUGUGAAGUGGUUAGAAUAUGUAGUGUAGCGGUGAAAUGCAUAGAUAUUACAUAGAAUACCGAUUGCGAAGGCAGAUCACUAACAAUUGAUUGACGCUGAUGGACGAAAGCGUGGGUAGCGAACAGGAUUAGAUACCCUGGUAGUCCACGCCGUAAACGAUGGAUACUAGCUGUUUGGAUUUCGAUCUGAGCGGCCAAGCGAAAGUGAUAAGUAUCCCACCUGGGGAGUACGUUCGC
This 829-nucleotide ribosomal RNA is filed under the name Cellulophaga sp. AU124_Ted2_SNAX. RNAcentral's name for it is "bacterial SSU rRNA". It matches the Rfam family "Bacterial small subunit ribosomal RNA", at positions 60 to 889 of the family's 1533-position model. The record is from RNAcentral. Lineage: Bacteria; Pseudomonadati; Bacteroidota; Flavobacteriia; Flavobacteriales; Flavobacteriaceae.